This is a long non-coding RNA of Eriocheir sinensis (Chinese mitten crab), 504 nucleotides long. RefSeq lists it as uncharacterized. The record is from RefSeq and is a predicted model, not a curated record. The transcript is spliced from 2 exons. Lineage: Eukaryota; Metazoa; Arthropoda; Malacostraca; Decapoda; Varunidae.
UGCUUGGAGCCAAACUAGAGAAUGUAGAAACAGGGAUUUAGAGAAAACGAGGAAAGGCGGACUAAUUUAAAUCAAUCACUUCAACAUGCCCUCCCUCACACCCCUAAGUCUAUAUACACCAAGUCAAGUCAUACGCAGUUUUGUGGGAGGAGACACGGCCGAGGCGUGGCUGAUGCGUGACGUUGCUUGGAGCCAAACUAGAGAAUGUAGAAACAGGGAUUUAGAGAAAACGAGGAAAGGCGGACUAAUUUAAAUCCAUCACUUCAACAUGCCCUCCCUCACACCCCACACCGCCGUUUGUAGGCAUUGGAAUUACAGUCACGCAAUAGCACAAUAAAAAGACAUUUUUUUCGUCAGUGGCUUGCCUGAACGCGCUGUGAAAGAAGGCGAGAAUGCACAUCCAGAGUGCACACACGGCCCCAACUUUAGUCACCCCUGAACUGGCGGGUAUUUUUUUUUUUGGCUCCAAGUGACGUCAUCCCGCUGCUCCGCCCCCAAACCGCC